RNAcentral lists this ribosomal RNA (382 nucleotides) under uncultured bacterium. RNAcentral describes it as "bacterial SSU rRNA". It matches the Rfam family "Bacterial small subunit ribosomal RNA", at positions 30 to 412 of the family's 1533-position model. The record is from RNAcentral.
AUUGAACGCUGGCGGCAUGCCUUACACAUGCAAGUCGAACGGCAGCACGGGAGCAAUCCUGGUGGCGAGUGGCGAACGGGUGAGUAAUGUAUCGGAACGUACCUUUCAGUGGGGGAUAACGUAGCGAAAGUUACGCUAAUACCGCAUAUUCUGUGAGCAGGAAAGCAGGGGAUCGCAAGACCUUGCGCUGAUUGAGCGGCCGAUAUCAGAUUAGCUAGUUGGUGAGGUAAAGGCUCACCAAGGCGACGAUCUGUAGCGGGUCUGAGAGGAUGAUCCGCCACACUGGAACUGAGACACGGUCCAGACUCCUACGGGAGGCAGCGGUGGGGAAUUUUGGACAAUGGGCGCAAGCCUGAUCCAGCCAUGCCGCGUGAGUGAAGAA